Rhododendron vialii is the source of this 867-nucleotide long non-coding RNA. RefSeq lists it as uncharacterized. The record is from RefSeq and is a predicted model, not a curated record. Lineage: Eukaryota; Viridiplantae; Streptophyta; Magnoliopsida; Ericales; Ericaceae. The transcript has 3 exons.
UCUACCUCUCCGACGCCUCCAUAGCCGGACGCCUCCACCUCCACAGCUCUAAACGCCUCUAUCUCUCUCCCUUCUGCACAGUCAACGGAAACCCUCACCACUCUUCCACCUCUAUACCUCCAUAACCCCUAAACAAACAACGACGAGCCCUCUCUCGUCCUCAACAGUCAGUCACAACGAAAAGCCCUCUCCAUUGUGCGAGGUCUAUUUGUUUUAGGAGUUGAAAAUGGUUAAAGAAGACCGUAAUGCUGUUCCAAAGCAUCCUUGUAAUGGAUGGAUAUAUUUCUUUUGAGAUUCACUUCUGAAGAUGGUAGGAACAACUUGAUUUUGGACUUGAUCCUUUGUGGGGAGAACGUAAUCAGGAAUGAAGUCAUCCGAAAGGCUCAAGAAAAAUACCGCAACACUAGUAGGAUAAUUUGAUACCACGGCGCCUUUGUGGCUUUUGUUGUAAACUUGAUUUCAAUCAUGUUGUAAACUUGAUGAAUGUGAGGUGCCUUUGUGGCUUUUGUUGUAAACUUGAUAUGGCAAAUAAUGCCUUCAAUUUAGAUCAUUCUAUUGUUUGCUGCUAUUGUAAUGGUAACAACUCGUUGUAAUGGUAACAGCUCGUUGUAAUGGUGAUAUAUUUUGGACAGUUUUCUGUUGCUGCUGCUAUUUCUUCUGCAGCAGGUGUUGGGUAAUCUGUUGGAUGGCUGUUUUGCUAUUGAACUGCUGCUGCUGUCCAAGUGUUGUGCUGCUUGCUGCUUUGCUCCUACGGCUGCCUUCUGUUCUGUUAUGACUGUUGUUUGCCAUUGAACUGUUGCUGGCUGCUAUGGUUGGUUUAAGCUAUGUAUUUGCUUUGGUUUAAGCUAUGUAUUUGCUUUGGUUUAA